UUUUCAUCAGACAAUCUGUGUGAGCACUGCAAAGAACAGUUCUUUAAGGUAAGGAGGUGAUCCAACCGCAGGUUCCCCUACGGUUACCUUGUUACGACUUCACCCCAGUCAUGAAUCACAAAGUGGUAAGCGCCCUCCCGAAGGUUAAGCUACCUACUUCUUUUGCAACCCACUCCCAUGGUGUGACGGGCGGUGUGUACAAGGCCCGGGAACGUAUUCACCGUGGCAUUCUGAUCCACGAUUACUAGCGAUUCCGACUUCAUGGAGUCGAGUUGCAGACUCCAAUCCGGACUACGACGCACUUUAUGAGGUCCGCUUGCUCUCGCGAGGUCGCUUCUCUUUGUAUGCGCCAUUGUAGCACGUGUGUAGCCCUGGUCGUAAGGGCCAUGAUGACUUGACGUCAUCCCCACCUUCCUCCAGUUUAUCACUGGCAGUCUCCUUUGAGUUCCCGGCCGGACCGCUGGCAACAAAGGAUAAGGGUUGCGCUCGUUGCGGGACUUAACCCAACAUUUCACAACACGAGCUGACGACAGCCAUGCAGCACCUGUCUCACGGUUCCCGAAGGCACAUUCUCAUCUCUGAAAACUUCCGUGGAUGUCAAGACCAGGUAAGGUUCUUCGCGUUGCAUCGAAUUAAACCACAUGCUCCACCGCUUGUGCGGGCCCCCGUCAAUUCAUUUGAGUUUUAACCUUGCGGCCGUACUCCCCAGGCGGUCUACUUAACGCGUUAGCUCCGGAAGCCACGCCUCAAGGGCACAACCUCCAAGUAGACAUCGUUUACGGCGUGGACUACCAGGGUAUCUAAUCCUGUUUGCUCCCCACGCUUUCGCACCUGAGCGUCAGUCUUUGUCCAGGGGGCCGCCUUCGCCACCGGUAUUCCUCCAGAUCUCUACGCAUUUCACCGCUACNNNNNNNNNNNNNNNNNNNNAAGCCUGCCAGUUUCGAAUGCAGUUCCCAGGUUGAGCCCGGGGAUUUCACAUCCGACUUGACAGACCGCCUGCGUGCGCUUUACGCCCAGUAAUUCCGAUUAACGCUUGCACCCUCCGUAUUACCGCGGCUGCUGGCACGGAGUUAGCCGGUGCUUCUUCUGCGGGUAACGUCAAUUGCUGCGGUUAUUAACCACAACACCUUCCUCCCCGCUGAAAGUACUUUACAACCCGAAGGCCUUCUUCAUACACGCGGCAUGGCUGCAUCAGGCUUGCGCCCAUUGUGCAAUAUUCCCCACUGCUGCCUCCCGUAGGAGUCUGGACCGUGUCUCAGUUCCAGUGUGGCUGGUCAUCCUCUCAGACCAGCUAGGGAUCGUCGCCUUGGUGAGCCGUUACCUCACCAACAAGCUAAUCCCAUCUGGGCACAUCUGAUGGCAAGAGGCCCGAAGGUCCCCCUCUUUGGUCUUGCGACGUUAUGCGGUAUUAGCCACCGUUUCCAGUAGUUAUCCCCCUCCAUCAGGCAGUUUCCCAGACAUUACUCACCCGUCCGCCACUCGUCAGCAAAGCAGCAAGCUGCUUCCUGUUACCGUUCGACUUGCAUGUGUUAGGCCUGCCGCCAGCGUUCAAUCUGAGCCAUGAUCAAACUCUUCAAUUUAAAAGUUUGAUGCUCAAAGAAUUAAACUUCGUAAUGAAUUACGUGUUCACUCUUGAGACUUGGUAUUCAUUUUUCGUCNNNNNNNNNNNNNNNNNNNNACAGAUUGUCUGAUAAAUUGUUAAAGAGCAGGUGCGACGCGGCUUUCAGCUCAUCGUCGCGAGGUGGCGUAUAUUACGCUUUCCUCUUUCAGAGUCAA
RNAcentral lists this ribosomal RNA (1776 nucleotides) under Salmonella enterica subsp. enterica serovar Paratyphi A. RNAcentral's name for it is "16S ribosomal RNA". The record is from RNAcentral. Lineage: Bacteria; Pseudomonadati; Pseudomonadota; Gammaproteobacteria; Enterobacterales; Enterobacteriaceae.